UAUUUCUAAACAAUCUAUUGUUAUUUAUUGAGUAUUUUAAAUACUUUUUUGUCAUCCAUUUAAAACAAUUUUUAAAAGUUUUAGACAUAAAUGAACAUGGGAUCGUUACAACUUACAAGGUGAAUGGUGCAGCUACAAAUCUACAGUGUAUUUGAAACUAAGACGUUUCUAGAAUAAUUUAACACAGCUGGGUAAAUUACAAUCGUCAGAAAAUCUGCUGCUAUGGAUAUCUACCAAUUCGUUACAGAACCCCGUGUUCUUGUCAUAGGACAACAAAAGAAAUGGAAGAAUUUGAGAUACGUACAAAAAAAAUGUGUUACUAAAUCUGGUCAGGCAUCUAUUAAAUAAAUUAAGAAAUGCAUAUAUGUUGGUAUCUGAGACUUCUUGCGGCCCAUGAUGGAAAACAGAAGGGAAUUUUAACGAGGACGAUUCUGAGGAGGAUAAACAAGGAAAGGAACACACAAUGGAAGGAGAAAUUAAAGCGUAGGCCAGUUGUAUCUGUGAACUAUUAAUCCUAAGCUGUCAGAAGAAUUGGACAACACUAGUGAACCGCUGACAACAUACAUCGUUAAUAAUUAUGUACGAGUAUUAUGUUAUAUGUAUUAUAAGAAUCAAUUAUUCAUUAAAGAGGUUUAGACCAAAGUGUUAAACUUUCGGGAAAUUUAAAUUGAAAAAAAUUAUACGAAUUAUUUUUAA
This is a long non-coding RNA of Adelges cooleyi (spruce gall adelgid), 696 nucleotides long. RefSeq lists it as uncharacterized. The transcript has 5 exons. Lineage: Eukaryota; Metazoa; Arthropoda; Insecta; Hemiptera; Adelgidae. The record is from RefSeq and is a predicted model, not a curated record.